Molecule: long non-coding RNA, 6716 nt
Filed under: Marmota monax (woodchuck)
Lineage: Eukaryota; Metazoa; Chordata; Mammalia; Rodentia; Sciuridae
Source: RNAcentral
GCAAACUCCUCACACCAAGAUGUCGGAGCAAAGCUUCAAUCCUCCUGUCAAAUACUGACUUUCACUUUCUGGGUUCUCUUGCACUGGGCAACAUGGUAUUUUAAGAAAGAUCGCUCCACUUCUGGUUUUCACUUCAUUAUGCAACUAGCUCUACUCAGAGAACCACUCCUGAACUCGCUUCUGUGAGCGCACAGAGUGGAAACACGCUGAACUCCUGAACUCGCUUCUGGGAGCGCACAGUGUGGAUACACGCUGAACUCCUGAACUCGCUUCUGGGAGCGCACAGUGUGGAUACAUGCUGCUUUGACAGUCUGGGCUGACCUGGCGUGUCUCCUGAGAUCUGCUCCUCAUCCAGCUGUUGGGGCAGGACUCCAUGCUGCUGUGGGUGUCCCUGCUGGUCCUUGGUGAGUAAUGAACAGGAGCCUGGCCUGAGCCUCCUCCCAAGCAAAGGGCCCCCUCUCCUGGCUAGUGAAAACUGCAGAAAAUGAGCAAAAAGGAAGGUAUUGAUUUAAUGCUAUGAGGGAAAUAAACAGAAAUUGAUAUCCAGAGAUGUGAUCUUCAUCCACUUUGGCUUUUAGUUGCCUGUGGGAAAUUCCUCCUCAUUUUUGUUUUCAAAUGAAAACAAACAAACAAACAAACAAACCACCCCAUGCAGCUCAUGAAAACUCAGAGAAAAAUACAAUCUGAGAUUCUAAGGACCAUAUAUAUCCUAAUUGUGAGCUGAGGCAAUUGAUGCUUUGCUGAGAAUAGCUAUUUCCUUCUCUGUAUCCUGCAAUCAAACCAUGAGAAGAGAAAAAAAUAAAAUGGUUUCCCUUGGACUGCCCUGACCCCUGCCCCUGCUUCUGUGUUAUUUGACAAUAUUUGUCCACAUGAGACACUGAAUUCCUAGUAAUUCACACUAGGGAAUUUAAAAAGUCAGUCUUGUGUAUUUGUUAAGUGUGUUUGUCUUGCUCCAACUUGGAUCCCCCGACUCUAACUUGGGGAAGAUUUAUUAUUAGUGUGAUAUGCACCUCAUGGGAUCAGCAAAUAAAGAAAUGAUGGGUGGUGUCAGCACAGCACAGAGUGGAGCACCUCAGAGAGUAGAGAGGCCUGGAGAUCACAGCCUCUGCCCUCAAGAGCUGACACUGAUUAGAACAUCAAAGUUCCAAUGCAAGAACCUUUGACCUGCCAAUGUCAGAGAAAUAUUACAUACUGGGUCACAGGAUGAUGGAUGAUGAUGACAAUUGCUUCUUGCUAACCCCUAUGUCUCAGACACCCUUCUGGGAAUAUCCCCAUGUUAUUAAUUUAUCCAAUUCUUUAACGAUCCAUAGCUUGGAACUAUUAUAACUCACAUUUACAAAUGAGGAAACUAAGGCACAGAAACUGUGGUCUCAAUACUAAGAUUCAUGAAGCUAGAAUUAGUGGUGGUGUCAGGAUUCAAACCCAUCAUCUGACUUCGGAGACUAUGCAUUUAACCGUCACCCCAUACUGUAUGUUCAGUUCUGAGCUUCAAUAAGCUUAUUGAUUGUCAGCGUCCUGAGUCAAGAGAAGAGAGAGCUUGCUUCAGCCUCGAAACACCUGAUAAGGCUUCAUGGAGGAGGGAAGGUUUCCUUUGGACCCUAAUGCGUGGAUGCGACUUGACUUAACUUGGUACUGAAGGAGAAGAAUACUCCAGGAGUCAAGAUCAGCAGUAGCCCCAUACUUAAAAAAAAAAAAUUGACAGCAACCAUUAAUUGAGGACUUACUAAUUCAAUUCAUUAUAAUAACACCACGAAGUCACUUUUAUGGUCCUCAUUUUUCAAAAGAGGAAACUGAGAUUUGGAAGUUUAUGUGGUUUGCCCAGGGUUUACAUGGCUAAAAUGGAAACCAGGUUGUCUGAGUCCAUAACGUGAGAUUUUGGCCACCAUGUUACGUGGAACUGCACGUGUUUCUCUUCCUCUUGUUUUGUAAUAGAAUGUGGCAUGCGGGUCCUCAGGGAGACAUGGUUGGGAACACCCUGCCUGUGCUGAUACCUGGCUUUUUACUCUCUUGCAGCUCCAGUCCAUGGACAAUUUGGUAAGUCCCCGGUUUCUUUUCUCUUUCCUAUCUCCAGAUAUUCUAAUAACUAGCCUCUAACUCUUGUAGAAGACCACAUUGUCUCCUUCCUUUCUUCUCUGAGCACUGCAGGGACAUAAAAAUACUAGUUGUUCUGGUGAUUCUGAGGCUAAGCAUUAGACUAUUUGGAAGUACCUUUCUCAAACCAAACCUGCCACCUGUUGGAUGAAUAUGGAGGGCUGGGACACGUGUCACCGGAGUUCACAGGAGGAGGAGGCAUCACCUCACCUGAUGUGGGAUUCUGGCCAGGGCUGAUGUUGGAAUGCAUAGAAUUUUGAGAGGGAAAGAUUUUUAAAAGCCAUUAUUACAAAGUGGGAGGCUGGAGCUCCAACUCUGUCCCUACCCAUGUGUAACCAACUUUCUGUAGACACAUUUUUCUAGUAAUAGCUCAAAUCAUGAUAACUCUGAGCUCCCAUCCAUCUGCUAUUCAGCAGAAAGCCAAGACUGUCUUUCUUUCCUUUCUCUCUCUCUCUCUCUCUCUUUUUUCUUUCUUUUAUGCUGGGGAUUGAAUCCAGAGGUUUAUGAUUGUAGACAAAUGCUGUACCACUGAACUACAAUUUAGUCCUUAAUAUAUAUAUAUAUAUAUAUAUUUUUUUUUUCUUUUCUUUUCUUUUUUGAGACAGGGUCUAAGUUGCUGAGGCUGGCUUUGAACUGGCAAUCCUCCUGCCUCAGCCUCCUAAGUCACUGGGGUUACAGGUGUGCACCACCGCACCCUGAUAGAAAAUCCAGUUUUUAUGGGGAACUGUCUCACAAUUGUUUGACAACCACCGUGGGAUUCCUUCAAGUGUUCCAAGCACAUCCUGGGAAUCGCUGGUGGUUGUCCUGCUUGAGCCAGCAGGAGCCACAGCCCCCCAGGUAUACACUGUCUCUGUCGCUCUCCCUCACGAUGUCAUGGACACAAACCUUUUCCCUGUCAAAGUGAGACAGGAUUAUAACUCAGCAAGACCUUGCUAAUGGAUCUAGGAUGAGGAAAUAAACCAGAAGGUCUUAUGUCAGCCCCUGAGUGUGGUUAAUCUCAGGACCCAGUGCCAAACCUCACAAAGGCCCUGACGAGGGAUCUCCUCCUGGUCACCGGGCCACGGCACACCAGACGGGCAGUUUACCUCAACCAAAGAAGAAUCUAUUUGAACCCAUCAAAGGAGGGAAGGUCGUCCUUCCUUCCAGGAAAGGACCUGCUGCCCAAGUCCCCAUUCCCUUGCCCCAAGCUUCCUAGGAACAUGACCAGUGUCCCAUAGAAAUAGAACAUUUCUAUUCCCUUCAGGAGAAACACAACACAUUCCCAUUGAGCACACAGGGCACUCUGUCCAAAUAUUUAAGAGAAAACAUUUUAUCAUUUUUUUAUCAGUGCAUCAUAGUGGAAUUCAUUAUGGCGCAUUUGUAUGUAUAUUACAUAAUUUGAUCAACUUCAGUCCGUGGUACCUUACCUUUAGAGAAUUUUUUCUUUUUUGUACCAGGGCAUGAACCUUGGGGAACUUAACCACUGAGCUACAAUCCCAGCCCUUUUAUUUUAUUUUAUGAUUUUGAAAUAGGGCCUCACUGAGUUGCUGAGGCUGGUUUUGAACUCUAUCUCUUCCUGCCUCAGCCUCCUGGGAUUACAAGAGUGUGCCACUAUGUCUGGCUUAGAAAUAUUUUUUUUCAAAGUCUGCAAAAACUCUCAAAUGUUUCACAUUACCAAACAGAAACAUUUAGCCUCUUCAUCUAAAACAUGCAUUCAAGUGACCUUACAGGUUAUUUCCCCCCUAAACAGAAGAAAGUCCUUUUCGUUACAUUUGGAUAUCAUUAAAAGACCUAUUUGGGAUGUUCUUCUAGGAAAAAAAAAAGUUAAUAAUACUUAAUAUCUCAAGCUUUAAAAAAGCAAUUGCUUAUAAGCCCUUAACUCUAGACACUUCCCCCUUAUCUGAGCAUGAAAAGGUAACAAGACGAAAAUCCAUGUAAAGCGAUUCCACUGCAAAUUGAACAGUAAUUAACGGCACCCCAAAAUUGAGAUUUUUUUUUAUUUUUGAAAAACAAAAUAAUCCAACUAUAAUUUGUUUUAUUUUCUACUUCACAGAAGUUAGACUAUGACAGGUCCUAUGUAGAGUGAAGCAUGGACCUAGUAUUGGGUUUUCAAAUGUGGCAUUGUGGCUGUGUUGGAGACAGGAAGGGGUGAGAGGCAGCAGAGGGACUGAAGCUGUCAGAGGAUUCCCACGUGCCUCCCUACCUUCAGCAUAAAGGCAGACUUUCCCCGGAACCCACAGUCCCUGGUGUCCUUUAGUUUUAUUCCUCUGACAGCUUUCCCCCCAGACCUGGAUGGAGUAGCGAGGAAAGCCAGCUGCUUCACUUUUCCAAGCCCACGGGUGGGCAGCAGUCUAGAGGGGGCAUCGGGACCCAUCCCCAGGAACCAGACCACUGCUUUCCUUGUGAUGCAUUUCUCCUUUUUCAUUGUUAACAGAUCUGCUUUUCACCUCUGUGUUGCCAGCCAUCAGAACAAGCGGUUCCACAUAACUUUUCCAACUUCAUGAAAUACUGCAUCUUAGGCACAAUCUGCAAUAGCGAUCCAUUUUCACUUUAUACCCAUUGAAAGAUUAGCUUACCAAGCCACUCAGCUUUAAGCAAGCCAGAGAAUAGCAUUACAUCUGGAAGGAUGUUUCUAUUAAUGGAUAAUUUUGUUGUUAGCUUCACCACCUCAAAACUACAGGACUCAGAAAAUAAACAUUCAGUUUCAAAAAAAAAACAGGAAGCCUCAAUAAUAAUUUCUUGUCAGGGAAUUAGCAUUAAAAAUAAAAUCUCCUCCCAACCAAGAAAUCUUCUCUAUAAGUGGUAAUAGAUAAAGGAAAACACUUUAUUAUUGAAUAAGUGUUAAGCCAGAAUGGAAUGCACCUCAUAGGAAAACCACUAAAAGAGCAAAGACAGAAAGGAAUUAUCUGUUUAGUCAAGCAGAUAAUCCAAACAUAUGUGUUUUCAACAUAAAUAAUAAUUGGUCUUCCAAUAAAAUAACCUGACACGUAGUUUAUCUUAACUAUGAUAAAUGGGAGGACCACCUGUGUUAGUGGAUUGCUUUUUAUCAUAGGAGAAACAAACUUCUCACAUUUUUAUAACAACAGGUAGUUUUGCAUGUUGGAGUCGGGGGAGCCCAGCAAAGUUAGACUCAGCCUCCUACAGAAACCAGGAGACAGAGGAUCAUCUUUCCAUAUGCCCAUCUUCCCCAAACCAAAAAGAUAGCAUGUCAAGUUCAUGACCCCGUUGUGUCAGGGUAGCAGGGCAGGUUGUGAAAAGGCCAAAGAAGAUGUCCAGAGAUGGCAUGUGAGACUUAUGAUCAGUGACAGUUCAGGAGGCUGAGGCAGCAGCCUUGCAAGUUUGAGGCCGGCCUCCGCAAGUAGUGAGAUCCCAUCUCAAAGUAAAAAAUAAAAAGGGCUGUGGAUUAAUUCAGUGGUAAAUCACCCUGGGUUUAAUUACCAGUAUCAGGGGUUGGGGGGCAGGGAUAAGUGACUGCUCCAAGAAGAGUUCAGUGGUGAUAGGCUGAACAGACAGCCCCUCCCUCAAGCAAGCGCCUCCUUCAUCUCUCCCUCUUGCUGUUUUGUCCAGUGGUGCCUGGCUCGGGAAUGAUCUGUAUUCUUUCCACGGGGCUCUCGGUUCCACAACUGUCCCUACUCAGAGGGAGGUUUUAUACAUCAGGUUGCAGCAGCAGUGACAUCAGCGGCUUUAGUUUGCCUGUAUGAGCAGCAUAUCAAGGAGCAACUUUCCCAGCAUAUACGGAAGAAAGGAGCUUUUGACAGAUGGCACUAAAUUUCCCUGGUUUCCAGUGUGCUUAAGAGAAAGCCAGGUCCUCUAAGAUCGUAGGUAUCUGCACUUUGCAGCCCAAGGGUGUUAGUGCUCCCUUGACUUGGCUGAGCUUUUGGAAAAAGAAGGGGGCAUCUGGGGAUGAUGUUUUACUGUCCCCCACCUUUUUUUUUUAAGGAUAACACAUGGCACCCAGGACUUUCCUGGGUUUGGAGACUGGCCAGACUCUUGUUUAGCCAUUAUAAAAUUUAUAAACUUUUAAAAGGGACAGAAAAAGAAAUUCUGAAAGAAAACAGAAAUCUCUUCCCUUAUUUUCCACAGGGAGCUAAUGCUAAUGCUUUUUUUUUUUUUCUAACUUGUUUUUGCCCUGGAUUCUCCAGCUCUGUCCAUCCAUGUUUCAAAGAUCUCAGGGUCCAGUUUCAUGCAAGGUCAAUAUUUUCUCGCCCUGAGAGUGUCUUUGAGGUUUAGAGUGUUGGGAGCACCUGUCUCCUUGCAGUCUUACCCUUUGUAGCUGUAUAGACAUACUUCACACCUCAGACAGCAGCCUGCUCCCCUCUCCCACACCUGCUUCUCAUUGAUAUUAUUACUUGAGUCCUAGGCCAGAGGCCUGACUCGGGAGACCCCCAAAAUGAGGUCCAACCACUCACCCUAAAAACAAAUAGAAAAGGAAAUGAUAGAAAGCAUGAAAGGAAUUUUAAUCAGUGUAGCUGUGCUGGGAAGAGAAGUGGUCCAUCCCUUUAGCCCCAUCUUCAAGAGACUGACAAUGACUUUGAGGGUUUUUUUUUUAAGAAGAGAAUGAGAGGCUGGGGCUGUAGCUCAGUGGCAGAGCAUUUACCUAGUACCUGUGAGGCACUGGGUUUGAUCCUCAGCACCACAUAAAGUAA